ACCUGGCUGACUCAGUCAGUAGAGCAUGUGACUCUAGAUCUUGGGGUUGUGAGUUCGAGUCCCAUGUUGGGUG
This 73-nucleotide transfer RNA is filed under the name Felis catus (domestic cat). It matches the Rfam family "tRNA". Rfam says of the family: Transfer RNA (tRNA) molecules are approximately 80 nucleotides in length. The record is from Rfam by way of RNAcentral. Lineage: Eukaryota; Metazoa; Chordata; Mammalia; Carnivora; Felidae.